ACACAAGAGAGGAGGUGGUCCGAGAAAUUGAGUGACAUACGGACAAGUGAGGUGGCUGCUAGCUAGCAGCACCAGGAGUGUGACGGAGCUCUUGGCCGUUCGCACAUGCGCUCAUCGUGCAGUCCUGCGAGCGCUGGCGAAUCCCAGGCAGCCACCCGGCCCCCGAGCCCUUGGUUGGUCCAACCAAGACGAACGGCUCGGGGGCUGCUCCAU
Molecule: small RNA, 213 nt
Filed under: Mycobacterium adipatum
Lineage: Bacteria; Bacillati; Actinomycetota; Actinomycetes; Mycobacteriales; Mycobacteriaceae
Description: Mycobacterium sp. YC-RL4 Actinobacteria sRNA Ms_IGR-5
Rfam family: Actinobacteria sRNA Ms_IGR-5
Source: Rfam by way of RNAcentral